GAAAGGGGGACGGUGCAUAGGCUUAAUGAGCCUGAGACUGGUCCUGCUUCUGUAGAGGCAGGGGAUGAUCCAUGCAGGACUGUGGUGACAACAGGGUACAGAAUGGUUGGUUGGAGACUGUUUUCUGAAAGGGGCUAACCCACAUUGCUGGCUCUUCCAGUGAAGACCUCCAUUGAAACAGAGAAGACAAGACUUAACAUUUAGAAGAUACCCAGAUGCCCUGUGCCUCACCAGAUCUGGAUCCUCCACUCUCCACCCCACCAUCUCUUCCAUUAGCAUGGAUCCAUUGCGUUCUCCAGAGGGCAGCUGCUCUAUGUCAGUGGUUCUCAGCCAGAGGUACACAUACCCCUGGAGUCUAGCACCGAGGAGAAAUGUAAUGAAUGGAAGAUCAAAACAAAAAGACAGUUCAAAGAAACUCUUCAGUACAUUUAAAAUAAAUAAAUAAA
Mauremys mutica (yellowpond turtle) is the source of this 446-nucleotide long non-coding RNA. RefSeq lists it as uncharacterized. The record is from RefSeq and is a predicted model, not a curated record. Lineage: Eukaryota; Metazoa; Chordata; Testudines; Geoemydidae. The transcript has 4 exons.